UACAGAGGGUGCAAGCGUUAAUCGGAGUUACUGGGCGUAAAGGGCGCGUAGGCGGUCAUGUAAGUGAGAUGUGAAAUCCCUGGGCUUAACCUAGGAACGGCAUCUUAAACUGUGUGACUGGAGUACUGUAGAGGGUAGUGGAAUUUCCGGUGUAGCGGUGAAAUGCGUAGAGAUCGGAAGGAACACCAGUGGCGAAGGCGGCUACCUGGACAGAUACUGACGCUGAGGCGCGAGAGCGUGGGGAGCAAACAGG
RNAcentral lists this ribosomal RNA (253 nucleotides) under uncultured bacterium. RNAcentral describes it as "partial 16S ribosomal RNA". It matches the Rfam family "Bacterial small subunit ribosomal RNA", at positions 524 to 776 of the family's 1533-position model. The record is from RNAcentral.